UGUCCAGAAGGUGAAAUGGCUGAACCUAGACUUGCGUUUCAGGGCUCCAUAUCUAUCCUGCUAUCAAAUGUUUGCUGAGUAACGAAAAAAUUGGAGCUCACUUUCCCUCAAGGGGGAGGGUAAGUGGCAAGAUAUUUGCUUAUACUGAGAAUGACGUUUUAAUAGGACUAGCUGAUGAUGAGCAGAUCAAUGGACAGAAUGAUGGAGAAACUUUUUAAUACGAUCAAGGGUUUGGGCAGAAUCAUGAAGGCUUAUAUUGUAAAGUUCUUCUUGUGAAUGUUUUGGAUAAGUUUGAUUUAUUCUAGAAUGCUAUAAGAUGCCUUAAUCCUCAGGCAGAAUUCCAUGCUUGAGGCCAUUAUUUUUCACAACUAAAGCUGAGAAGAGUAUGUUUCUUGAGGAGAAAACAAGGUAUCUUGGGAUAAGUUUGUUCUGUUUUUUUCUCAACUGGGAUAGGCCAAAUGCAAGAGAAACAAUAUUUCUCAUGCAAUGAAGUGUGUGUAGAAUCGAGAAGGCCUAAUGUGGGGAAGCAAUUAUGGUGAAUUAUUGGAUUGCUGUGUGUUAUUCUUGGUUCUAUGAAGCGGCAAAUAAUUAUGCCUGCUUUGAUCAAUAAUCCACACUCAAAUGCCUCCUCUAAGUACAAAUUCGAUGUCAUGUUGUGGACGUUUUUAUUGAAGUUAUUGUAGGCAUCAAUCCAGAAGUGUUUUUAGCUGUUGUAAAUGCAGUCAAGGUGUUUUUCCAAGCAUCUUAGUCAUUGAUUUCAUGUCAGUAUCAUCAAAUUCUGGCUGCAUAAACAGUUGCUAUGAAUGAUUCCAGUAUUUUUUCUCAUAGACAUGCAAUUAAUUCUAAAUUACUAUAAAAAUAAAUAUUCUUCUUGGGUUGCGAUAUACGAGUGAUGUUGGUGAAGCUAAACAUACAAAACUCUGGAGGUAAUUUCCUUUGCUAAUUUGCAUUGUUCUUUCUUUUGUCUAUUAUCAUUUUGGAAGGCCUUUUUUUUCUAGUUAAGAAGAUUUUAUUUUGAUAUUCCCAUUCCAUCAAUGGUGCAAGUUCAUUAUUUCAUAAAUUUCUUGAAGAAUCAAUUUCAGGCAUUGGUAGUAUCAUUGAGGUUGUCAAAAAGAAAAUUUCAGGAGUUGAUGCAUUACACAAGCUUAGCCAAGCAUCAAAUUCUAUCUAAAGGAGAUGUUUUUUGCUGGGCCAAAUUGUCGGGAUUCAGAAACUCAUGUCUACCACUAAAAUUUAAGGCACUCAAGCUGUGAUGUAAUCUUGCCCUCUCCACCAGAGCUCUCCAUUGAAAAGCAAGCCAUAAAUUUUAAUGAAUUGCUUGAGGAAUCAAUUAAUGUCAGGAGUUGGUGUACUACAAGCGUGGCAUAUUUAAUAAUGAGGUGCUUUUUCCCUUUUCUAUAUACUCAGCUACAACAUUUUAAGAUUUAUUGUUUAUCAAUAUUCUGGCCUUAUGUAAAACAGUUAUCAAAUUACAUAUAUUGAAGAUGUUUUAGCUGGAUUGUCAAGAUUCAGAAAGCCAGUGUAAGGAAAAUGGUGAACAUUUGAUACAUUCUUGCUUUUUACCAGGCUCACUGGCUACAUGUUCUGUGGUUACUAAUUGCAUGGAUUUAUAUAUUUUUCACCUUAUUUUUCAUUCUCUUCUGUCACUUGGAAUUUAGGUAAUCUUUUUUUCAGCAAGAAAGUUAUUUAUGAGUUUAAAGGCUGUAUUAUUUUGUGAAGCAAGUACAUUAAUUUCUGUUAUCGUUCUACUGAGGAUUGGAAGAGGGUAUAUUUAUAUCAAUCAAAGUUCUAUGUAUAAUUGGAUAUAACCUUUCUUCUUCAAUUUUUGUGCUUGAAUUAUAGACGUAUAAGUAGGAAAUUUUUGCUGCUAAUAUGUUCAUUUUAUCCAUUUUCAAUGUCACCUGGUGGGCUUAGCAGGAGAUGAUAUAGCAAAUAAUUCAA
Pistacia vera is the source of this 1941-nucleotide long non-coding RNA. RefSeq lists it as uncharacterized. The record is from RefSeq and is a predicted model, not a curated record. NCBI's taxonomy places the organism in Eukaryota, Viridiplantae, Streptophyta, Magnoliopsida, Sapindales, Anacardiaceae. The transcript is spliced from 5 exons.